CAAUAGCGUAUAUUAAAGUUGUUGCGGUUAAAAAGCUCGUAGUUGGAUUUCUGUUGGGAACGACCGGUCCGCCCAUUGGGUGUGUAUCUGGCUUGUUCUCGGCAUCUUCUUGGUGAACGUUGCUGCACUUGACUGUGUGGAGCGCUACCCAGGACUUUUACUUUGAGGAAAUUAGAGUGUUUCAAGCAGGCAUACGCCUUGAAUACAUUAGCAUGGAAUAAUAAGAUAGGACCUCGGUUCUAUUUUGUUGGUUUCUAGAGCUGAGGUAAUGAUUAAUAGGGAUAGUUGGGGGCAUUCGUAUUUAACUGUCAGAGGUGAAAUUCUUGGAUUUGUUAAAAACGGACUACUGCGAAAGCAUUUGCCAAGGAUGUUUNCAUUGA
RNAcentral lists this ribosomal RNA (380 nucleotides) under uncultured eukaryote. Its description in RNAcentral is "partial 18S ribosomal RNA". It matches the Rfam family "Eukaryotic small subunit ribosomal RNA", at positions 592 to 976 of the family's 1831-position model. The record is from RNAcentral.